GUGGCUCUCGUUUGAUAUAUCUUAUGGUGUUUCAUGUUUCUGAUAAUUAUUCUAUGGACCGAAACAACUUGACAAAUGGAAACGAAAGACCUUGAGCUGGAAGUGGAAUCAAUAAUACCGAUUGUUUGUUGUCAUGAGAGAUUGAGCUAGAAGAGUCUGCUACAUUGGAUAAGGGGCAGUUGGUUUCAUAGUUUUUGAUGUCUGCUACAUUGGAUGAAGUCUACUAAGUUAGGUUGCUUGACUUAUGACUAUUUUGGGUUCUUUUUGAAUAUUAAUGACAAAAAUUUGUCCAAUGAUACUUGCAGAUGUAAUUAUAUUAAUGGAAUAGUUCUUUUCAUUUUGUGAUAUUCAGACAAUCUUGAUUAUUAAUAUAUAUGUGAAUCUUUUUGAUGGCAAAA
Molecule: long non-coding RNA, 398 nt
Organism: Erigeron canadensis
Lineage: Eukaryota; Viridiplantae; Streptophyta; Magnoliopsida; Asterales; Asteraceae
Exons: 2
Source: RefSeq, a predicted model, not a curated record